This is a non-coding RNA of Pelobates cultripes (western spadefoot toad), 1285 nucleotides long. The record is from the annotation of a GenBank genome assembly. Lineage: Eukaryota; Metazoa; Chordata; Amphibia; Anura; Pelobatidae.
GGCUACGUUUAUUGAAUACAUGUAACAAAGAAAUCGUUAAAUAGAAAAAAACGUUAAAAUAAGAAACAAUAAGUUGCUAUUUUUUAAGACAGUGACAAAUAUAUUUAAAUACGUAAUGUAGGAUAACUACAAGCUUAUCGCAAAAUUGUUAACAAAAUGUGUGUGACUAGAUUACCAGUAGAAUGUAUGUAACAUUUCAAGACAGUAUCUUAAAUAACGCAAAGUUCCAAUCCUCUAUUUAUAUGAACAGAAAUGUAAUUCAAACAAAAAAAAUAUAGAUUUAAGGUACAAUGUGGCUAAAACCAAGUGCAGCUCUAGUGUCACCCAAGUGUGAUGUCACUCCCACACUUAAUAAAUAUGUUUGAAAUUACAAAAACCAAGGUGACAGGUGCACAAAUUGAUAAAAACCUCUUAAUUGCAGAUUACAGGAAAGAAAGCCUUAUGCCCUAAACACUAGAUGCGUUUCGCGUCUCCUAUGGACUUUGUCUCAACAGCUACUAGGCCUGCAUCGUAUUGGUGGAAGUUACACUCCUGGGCAGCGCCGGUUUUUGAUGGAACAAUUAAUUCAGCUCCUCUACAGGCAAUUAUAUACCAGGAGAGAUGAUGGAAGAAAGAAAGCGAUGUCUUGAUCCCUCCAGCUUUUCUUGUGGAAUAUAAGUAAGGGAUGAGAUUAAAGAUUGUAACAAUUGUAUCCAGGAUCGGCAAAACGAGCAACAAGGAGAUGCGCCCAGUGAAUCAAGUGACACCAUGAUGACUUUCGCAGGUCGGGAAGCAUGUCUAGUGUGGUUUGACUGGUAAUAUUUUUGAACCAGCAAACUACUAAUCUUCAUUAUAAAAUUUGCAAUUAAGAGGUUUUUACCAGUUUGUGUGCCUGUCACCUUGGCUUUUACCAUUUCAGAAAUGUAAUUCAAUAAUGCUCUAAAUCAGUCAAGUUACUGCUGUACAAGACAAUCUUGUAAAUAGGUUAUGGACUGGGUGAGUGCAGAAAUCACUUAAAUUCUGGUUUGUACAGCUAUUCACAAGAAACAUUAUUGCACAAAUAUAUCUUGUUACUUUAAAAUUAUGAAAUUUAAAGUCAGUUAACCUGUAAUAAAGAAGGAUCAAGACAUGUUUGGAUGUCAUCUCUCCCCCCCCCUCCCCCCCAACGUAUAUGAACAAAUUACAUAUUUUUAAAAGAUAUUUGGGGUUUUUUUGGGGGUGGGGAGGUUAAUGUACCUGUAACUGUGCAAUACUUUGAUACAAUUGCUUGUUCAGGGAAAUGGACCAAACCCAAAAUAUAGUUUAU